Long non-coding RNA from Clupea harengus (Atlantic herring), 147 nucleotides. RefSeq lists it as uncharacterized. The transcript has 3 exons. The record is from RefSeq and is a predicted model, not a curated record. Lineage: Eukaryota; Metazoa; Chordata; Actinopteri; Clupeiformes; Clupeidae.
GGUGCAGGCUACGGUGGAGGUCCUGGCAAUGGCUAUGCAGGCCUGGGACAGGGUGGAUACCCCAAUGGAGGCCGAGGAGGCAAGCAAGCCGGUUAUGCUAAUGGAGGAUAUGCUGGAGCCGGCCUCGGUGAUGGUCUGGGCCUUGGU